GAGGUUGGGACAGCCAGACAUGAGGGAAUACGUGGGGUAUUUAUAGUUUAUUUAAAGAACAUCAUUUGAUGCCUUCUAAAGUAGAACUGGGAGGAAAUUUCUAUUAGUGAUAAUACACUACUGUAGAUAGUUUUUCUUUUUAUAAAUGUUUAAGAAGAAGAUGAUUUUUAAAAAGCAUUCAUAUCCCUGGCGGGGGAAUCCCCACUAGCACACUGAAAACGGGAAGUGCCGCCAGACCCCGUGUUUGCUUUGGGGUCAGUGGUAGUGGUCCCCAGAGAAACCAGUAGGGCCAGUUGUGUAGCCUCACCCACCAUAAACCAAAAGCCCACUUUGGUUUCAUAUCGAAAAUCAGUAACUGGGCUGAGCUCUAUUUGUGACAUAAUUUUUUUCAUGACACACCUUCUGAUCUCUCUGUGUAUAGUCAAUUAGAACAUCAGCAAUGAAAGAUAUUUUUAAUUUAAUCAUAUCAAAAUGCAUAAUACAAUUGUAUGAAUGUGUGUGAGAGUGAGACUGAGAGUGUGAGACCUUUAUAGUCAACUAGAAAAGCUGUGACGGGUUGGUUUCUCAUGGUUAAAAUAGUUGAAAAAGCAAGUAAAUAUU
RNAcentral lists this long non-coding RNA (600 nucleotides) under Bos taurus (domestic cattle). RNAcentral's name for it is "long non-coding RNA NONBTAT000985". The record is from RNAcentral. Lineage: Eukaryota; Metazoa; Chordata; Mammalia; Artiodactyla; Bovidae.